RNAcentral lists this ribosomal RNA (483 nucleotides) under uncultured bacterium. RNAcentral describes it as "partial 16S ribosomal RNA". It matches the Rfam family "Bacterial small subunit ribosomal RNA", at positions 28 to 523 of the family's 1533-position model. The record is from RNAcentral.
GACGAACGCUGGCGGCGUGCUUAACACAUGCAAGUCGAACGAUGAAGCUGGAGCUUGCUCCGGUGGAUUAAUGGCGAACGGGUGAGUAACACGUGAGCAAUCUGCCCUUGACUCUGGGAUAACUGCGGGAAACUGUAGCUAAUACCGGAUACGAGAGCUGAAGGCAUCUUCGGGUCUGGAAAGAAUUUCGGUCAAGGAUGAGCUCGCGGCCUAUCAGCUUGUUGGUGAGGUAAUGGCUCACCAAGGCGACGACGGGUAGCCGGCCUGAGAGGGGAACCGGCCACACUGGGACUGAGACACGGCCCAGACUCCUACGGGAGGCAGCAGUGGGGAAUAUUGCGCAAUGGGCGAAAGCCUGAUGCAGCAACGCCGCGUGAGGGAUGAAGGCCUUCGGGUUGUAAACCUCUUUUAGCAGGGAAGAAGCGAAAGUGACGGUACCUGCAGAAAAAGCACCGGCUAACUACGUGCCAGCAGCCGCCGUAA